UCCUAACUUAGAUGCUGGCUUGCAUAGC
Molecule: non-coding RNA, 28 nt
Filed under: Mus musculus (house mouse)
Lineage: Eukaryota; Metazoa; Chordata; Mammalia; Rodentia; Muridae
Source: RNAcentral